CACUCUGGGAUAAGCCUGGGAAACUGGGUCUAAUACUGGAUACGACCGAUCUCCGCAUGGAGUGUUGGUGGAAAGUUUUUGUGGUGGGGGAUGGACUCGCGGCCUAUCAGCUUGUUGGUGGGGUAAUGGCCUACCAAGGCGACGACGGGUAGCCGGCCUGAGAGGGCGACCGGCCACACUGGGACUGAGACACGGCCCAGACUCCUACGGGAGGCAGCAGUGGGGAAUAUUGCACAAUGGGCGAAAGCCUGAUGCAGCGACGCCGCGUGAGGGAUGACGGCCUUCGGGUUGUAAACCUCUUUCACCAGGGACGAAGCUAACGUGACGGUACCUGGAGAAGAAGCACCGGCUAACUACGUGCCAGCAGCCGCGGUAAUACGUAGGGUGCGAGCGUUGUCCGGAAUUAUUGGGCGUAAAGAGCUUGUAGGCGGUUUGUCGCGUCUGCUGUGAAAGACCGGGGCUUAACUCCGGUUCUGCAGUGGGUACGGGCAGACUAGAGUGUGGUAGGGGAGACUGGAAUUCCUGGUGUAGCGGUGAAAUGCGCAGAUAUCAGGAGGAACACCGAUGGCGAAGGCAGGUCUCUGGGCCAUUACUGACGCUGAGAAGCGAAAGCAUGGGNAGCGAACAGGAUUAGAUACCCUGGUAGUCCAUGCCGUAAACGUUGGGCGCUAGGUGUGGGACUCAUUCCACGAGUUCCGUGCCGCAGCUAACGCAUUAAGCGCCCCGCCUGGGGAGUACGGCCGCAAGGCUAAAACUCAAAGGAAUUGACGGGGGCCCGCACAAGCGGCGGAGCAUGCGGAUUAAUUCGAUGCAACGCGAAGAACCUUACCAAGGCUUGACAUACACCGGAAUCAUGCAGAGAUGUGUGCGUCUUCGGACUGGUGUACAGGUGGUGCAUGGUUGUCGUCAGCUCGUGUCGUGAGAUGUUGGGUUAAGUCCCGCAACGAGCGCAACCCUCGUUCCAUGUUGCCAGCACGUCAAGGUGGGGACUCAUGGGAGACUGCCGGGGUCAACUCGGAGGAAGGUGGGGAUGACGUCAAAUCAUCAUGCCCCUUAUGUCUUGGGCUUCACGCAUGCUACAAUGGCCGGUACAGAGGGUUGCGAAACCGUGAGGUGGAGCUAAUCCCAAAAAACCGGUCUCAGUUCGGAUUGGGGUCUGCAACUCGACCCCAUGAAGUCGGAGUCGCUAGUAAUCGCAGAUCAGCAACGCUGCGGUGAAUACGUUC
RNAcentral lists this ribosomal RNA (1226 nucleotides) under Dermacoccus nishinomiyaensis. RNAcentral's name for it is "bacterial SSU rRNA". It matches the Rfam family "Bacterial small subunit ribosomal RNA", at positions 134 to 1373 of the family's 1533-position model. Lineage: Bacteria; Bacillati; Actinomycetota; Actinomycetes; Micrococcales; Dermacoccaceae. The record is from RNAcentral.